AAAGGUUCUGGUACAGAGCAGUCAGUCACACAGGAUGAUGGGCAACAGCAAGUAUACUCCUCUCUCCUUCAUGCUGACCAGUGUAUUUAUGAAACAAUCAGAGCGACUGGAAACACUGGAAAUGGAAACAACCAGAGAUCACAACUUCAAGAUCAAGAAAUCCUGUCACAGGCGAGAUGUUAAGAAGGAACUAAUCAUCACAGGACAAGAAGAAAAACAGGCUGGUGUCUACCACACCAGACAUGACCCAAAAUCCAGAAUGUCCCAAGAUGCUGGUUUAUAUGUUCAGUUCUUCAGCUGCCUUUUCAUUCUUCACAAGCUUUAACUUUUGCUCUUUUUAGCUCUCAUGUUAAAACACAUUUGUAAUUGUCACACUCUGUGUUUUUUCUGCUUCAGUUUUCUAGUGUUUCUGUAUUUUCCCUGUGUGUCCUCGGUUGUUCUUCCUGCCCCGCCCGUGCUCACCUGAUUCCUUUGGUGUCUCCUCCAGGUGUUUCUUGUUGUCUCGUUAAGUUCUCCCUUUAUAUUCUGUGUCCUGUCUUCAGUGUUUGAUCACUGUGCUGUUACCAGCCAGUGUGGUGUUUCUCAUGUUCCUUGUGUUCUUUUUCUCCCAGAAGACCUGUGAGUUUUUGAGCUACCACGUCAGCCUUCUUUUGUUUAAUAAAUAUUUAGCUUUUUGGA
Molecule: long non-coding RNA, 678 nt
Organism: Austrofundulus limnaeus
Lineage: Eukaryota; Metazoa; Chordata; Actinopteri; Cyprinodontiformes; Rivulidae
Exons: 3
Source: RefSeq, a predicted model, not a curated record